This is a non-coding RNA of Megalopta genalis, 3052 nucleotides long. The record is from RefSeq and is a predicted model, not a curated record. Lineage: Eukaryota; Metazoa; Arthropoda; Insecta; Hymenoptera; Halictidae.
GGCGCGACGGUACGAGACGGGCAGCCGACUGUACGCGACGAUACGGGAGGCGAGGCAACGGGACGCGACGCAAUGGAGACGUACUGCCGCGGCGCAACGAAAGGGGGUGAAACAAAGAGAGGACAAGGGGAGGAUGUUACCAGCAGUAUAUCGUGCUACGGUGCAGUCGCCAGAUGCCAGAUGCCAGACGCCGGACGCCAGACGCUAGACGCCAGACCCUGGAUUCCGGGCAACGACGAAAAACUCGAGAUCUCCGAAGACCCCGAGACGCUCGAAACUAUCAAGACGCCGCAGCAUCCUCGAGAUACCCGAAAUAUCUGGGCAAGUUCGAAACUCGGCGGGACACGCGAAACAAUUAAACUGGAAACACGUUUCGCGUCGCGUAUCUAUGAAAAGUCUGCGGUUCCGGCAGGAAUCUAGCGAGUAUAGGUGUCGCGGAACGAAGGCGAGCGGAGAGGAAUGUAUCGAAGGAACGAUGCUUCAGCAACAGGUGCUCGAUUAGCGGCUAAAUAUGGUAAUGUUUUCCGCCUCCCUAGAGCUAGACGCUAAAACGUUCUACGUUUUUCGAUUCUCCGUGCAGUUUCACGGAGGGAAACGCGUCGCGAACGAUCACGGGACUCGUGCUUCAGCUCGAAUGAUCGCGACAUUAAGUUCCGGAAGAUUGCGAUCUUUUAUUUAUCGGUACUUACCGGGUCGCUCCGUUAACAAUACCUCCUCCGCUCGACUCCGUCGAUUUCGCAGUCCCUCGGCUAUCGAUGGAAGUCCCUGUUAUAAAUUCAGCCGUGAAUCCUCGGCGGCCCGCUAUUCGAACGAAUUCCACGAAGUAGAACCAUAAGUUCUUUCUCGUCCAACUACAAGGAAAUGAUCGACCGAAUAACGAGACCGACAGACACUCGUCCGGAGAAACGAUGGAAACUGUAGUUAUCGAGGAGAUACCCUUUGUUACCAUGUCGGCCGACCUGGACAACGUUUUUAGCGGUCCGUUUCGCAGAAAUCUAUGUUGUUGCGAGCGAACGAGAACCGAACGCGCUGCUGGUCGAAAGAGCGAAACACAGCGCCGAACUGUCCGGAACGGAGCGAUUGUUCGCGGUGAAUUAUUUUCACGAGGGAACGGCGUCCCGUUCAAAGCCAACGUCGGAGCUUGCUAAUUUUUAGUUUAAUCACCGACCGCUAGUAAAAAGUAACCAUUCCGUCGAGAUGCGCGGGACGGGAAAGGAAGAAACUAAUGAUUGUUGAACGUCGAGUACUCUGUAAAGUGUUGUACUCGACGAAACCGUGGUCCCCAUUAACCUCAAAGCCGAAGAAAUAAAGCGGAGGACGGAGCGAGCUUUGAGUGGAGGGUAAAAAGAAUGAAACGAAUUUAUCCUGCAGCGUAAAUAGGAAAUAUAAAACGACGCACGGAGAUGAAGAGGAAACGGGACACGGUCGCUUGUCAAAAGGUAUCAGGCGACCAGAUGCUGCGGCUCCGGCAACAAAUGUUAAUUGACGCGGUUCGCAACAAGCUCUGCUGCUUUGAAAAAUUGUUCGUGAAACUGGCAUCUUUUCCAGCGCUCCAAAGUUCGUGCCGCGCAAACCAGGAAAGUUCGAAGCGAAGAAAUUCUUAUGUCGGAGCUCCGUGCAUGCGCGACAGUCGGUUGGAAUUCAGGUGGUUUUCUGCUGUAAAUCGUCACGAAUCGAUUUUUCUUUCUUUUCACUUUCUCGAAUAACAUUGUCUCGGAGAUAUAUGCGCGGAAGCAUGUAGUCGAAUUUCUAAAGUUAGCAGAGUUAUACGCAUUCUUAUGUCGGAGCUCCGUGCAUGCGCGACAGUCGGUUCGAAUUGAGGCGGUCUUCUGCUGUAAAUCGUCAAAAAUCGAUGUCUCUUUCUUUUCACUUUCUCGAAUAACAUUGUCUCGGAGAUAUAUGCGCGGAAGCAUGUAGUCGAAUUUCCAAAGUUAGCAGAGUUAUACGCAGCUGUUUGAACGGCCAACCAGACCGUUGGCAAUAGGAUGCGACAUAGAGUAUACAAAUGGAUAAAAAAGGGUCAAAGCAUAUCCUGAUCCAUGCAGUUCGACGGAAGAAGAGGAAAAUCGGGAUCUCUAUCUUGAACAACAGGUAAUUAUCAAUUUUUUUUCGUGAAAGCUACGAGAGCAUCUUUUUGACACGUGAUUGCGUACGAGUCGCUGCAUUGUCGCUAAUUUUAAUUACUUUUUUGAUCACCUAAAAAUUUGUAAAUAAAAUUGAGAGAUGAACAGAUCCAUUCGAAAAUCGUUAAUGAAAAAUACUGCACAGCUUUUUGACAAAAAUUCUAGGAAACGCGUUCUACGGUAGAAGACCUGCUUAAACAAAUAAAUCACUGUAGUUAGCCGUGGCAGCCGGAUAAUCGAAUUGGCAACCACGCGGCGCCGUUUCUCCGACGAACGACAGCUUCGAGCGUCGUUUUGGCCUUUGCUCUAAUAGUUUUUCGAUGGAUCGUUACGUGACCACACGUGGAAUAUCCGGUUACUUCGAAAUCGGUGAAUCGUGUCGGACGAGACACGCGCAAGUAUCGCAUUCUUGUUAUUCUCGACCAAUACCGCAUCGGCCAGCCCAUUACCUUCUCGGCUAGAACCGUCGCCGGAGCGAAUAUUCGACGAUUAAAACACGCCUGAUCGUUAAUAGAUUUAAUUGUUGCGGAUAAAGCGCGGAGGUAACAUCCGUCGACGGCCAUAACUCAUUGUCAGACAAAACGGAAGACCGAGCCGAGGCACAGAAAGUAAAACGAAGUUGAAAAGUGGAAUAAGGAUCGACUCCGGAUAGACAGCCUAGAUUGAGUACCAUUAUUGAUGAGGGGGCUAAAGUAGAUCCACAGUUCCAAUAGACGCUGUUAGCGGAAAGACACAUCUUCGGGAACUUUGUGCGCAGCUCGGGGACGACUCGAUCCUGCUCUUCUCUCUGGAUAAUGUCGCGUAUACGAGUCGCGUGACGCAUUCAAAGAAAUCGAACCAAGAGUGAGCGUUCUGUACAUCGUGGCGGGAACCCAAACAUUUUUGUGAUCCUAAAUGUUCAAUAAAAUAAAAGAAUGUUAGUAAUAAAA